RNAcentral lists this ribosomal RNA (1207 nucleotides) under Clostridium perfringens. Its description in RNAcentral is "partial 23S ribosomal RNA". It matches the Rfam family "Bacterial large subunit ribosomal RNA", at positions 1 to 1213 of the family's 2925-position model. RNAcentral also lists the same sequence under 1 other name. Lineage: Bacteria; Bacillati; Bacillota; Clostridia; Eubacteriales; Clostridiaceae. The record is from RNAcentral.
GGUCAAGCUACAAAGGGCGCAUGGUGAAUGCCUUGGCAUCAGGAGCCGAUGAAGGACGUGAUAAGCUGCGAUAAGCUUCGGGUAGGCGCACAUAGCCUGAGAUCCGAAGAUCUCCGAAUGAGGAAACUCACAUGGGAAACCCCAUGUAUCAUUAAGUGAAUACAUAGCUUAAUGAAGGUAACCCAGGGAACUGAAACAUCUAAGUACCUGGAGGAAGAGAAAGAAAAAUCGAUUUUCUUAGUAGCGGCGAGCGAAAGGGAAAGAGCCCAAACCGGAAACUUGUUUCCGGGGUUGUGGACAUAGCAUAAAAGUGGAGGCUAUUGUAACUGAAGAGAACUGGAAAGUUCCACCGUAGAAGGUAAUAGUCCUGUAAGUGAAACGAGAAGACCACGAGUUAUGAUCCAGAGUACCACGAGACACGUGAAACCUUGUGGGAAGCAGGGAGGACCACCUCCCAAGGCUAAAUACUACCUGAUGACCGAUAGUGAAGCAGUACCGUGAGGGAAAGGUGAAAAGAACCCCGGGAGGGGAGUGAAAUAGAACCUGAAACCGUGUGCCUACAACCGCUCAGAGCCCCUUAUGAGGGUGAUGAGGUGCUUUUUGUAGAACGAGCCAACGAGUUACGGUAUGUAGCAAGGUUAAGUACUUAAGGUACGGAGCCGAAGGGAAACCGAGUCUGAAUAGGGCGACUAGUUGCAUGCCGUAGACCCGAAACCGGGUGACCUAUCCAUGGCCAGGUUGAAGCGAGGGUAAAACCUCGUGGAGGACCGAACCACGUUGCUGUUGAAAAAGCAUGGGAUGAGCUGUGGAUAGCGGAGAAAUUCCAAUCGAACCCGGAGAUAGCUGGUUCUCUCCGAAAUAGCUUUAGGGCUAGCGUCGAGUAUGAGUAGUGGAGGUAGAGCACUGAAUGGGCUAGGGGGCAUAGCGCUUACCGAACCUUAUCAAACUCCGAAUGCCACAUACUUUGAGCUCGGCAGUCAGACUACGAAUGAUAAGAUCCGUGGUCAAAAGGGAAACAGCCCAGAUCGUCAGCUAAGGUCCCAAAGUGUAAGUUAAGUGGGAAAGGAUGUGAGAUUUCUAAGACAACUAGGAUGUUGGCUUAGAAGCAGCCAUUCAUUAAAAGAGUGCGUAAUAGCUCACUAGUCGAGAGAUCUUGCGCCGAAAAUGUAACGGGGCUAAACUUACCACCGAAGCUACGGGCUUGAAC